Molecule: ribosomal RNA, 253 nt
Filed under: uncultured bacterium
Lineage: Bacteria
Description: partial 16S ribosomal RNA
Rfam family: Bacterial small subunit ribosomal RNA
Source: RNAcentral
UACGGGGGGGGCAAGCGUUGUUCGGAAUUACUGGGCGUAAAGAGCGUGUAGGCGGCCAGGUAGGUCUGCUGUGAAAACUCGAGGCUCAACCUCGAGAUGUCGGCGGAAACCAUCUGGCUAGAGUCCGGAAGAGGAGAAUGGAAUUCCCGGUGUAGCGGUGAAAUGCGCAGAUAUCGGGAAGAACACCCGUGGCGAAGGCGGUUCUCUGGGACGGUACUGACGCUGAGGAGCGAAAGCCAGGGGAGCAAACGGG